UACGUAGGGUGCAAGCGUUGUCCGGAAUUAUUGGGCGUAAAGAGCUCGUAGGCGGUUUGUCGCGUCGGCUGUGAAAACCUGGGGCUCAACCCCGGGCCUGCAGCCGAUACGGGCAAGCUAGAGUUCGGUAGGGGAGACUGGAAUUCCUGGUGUAGCGGUGAAAUGCGCAGAUAUCAGGAGGAACACCGGUGGCGAAGGCGGUUCUCUGGGCCUGUACUGACGCUGAGGAACGAAAGCGUGGGGAGCGAACAGG
This 253-nucleotide ribosomal RNA is filed under the name uncultured bacterium. RNAcentral describes it as "partial 16S ribosomal RNA". It matches the Rfam family "Bacterial small subunit ribosomal RNA", at positions 524 to 776 of the family's 1533-position model. The record is from RNAcentral.